Molecule: ribosomal RNA, 492 nt
Filed under: uncultured bacterium
Lineage: Bacteria
Description: partial 16S ribosomal RNA
Rfam family: Bacterial small subunit ribosomal RNA
Source: RNAcentral
AGUGAACGCUGGCGGUAGGCCUAACACAUGCCAGUCGAACGGCAGCACAGUAAGAGCUUGCUCUUACGGGUGGCGAGUGGCGGACGGGUGAGGAAUACAUCGGAAUCUACUUUUUCGUGGGGGAUAACGUAGGGAAACUUACGCUAAUACCGCAUACGACCUACGGGUGAAAGCAGGGGACCUUCGGACCUUGCGCGAUUGAAUGAGCCGAUGUCGGAUUAGCUAGUUGGCGGGGUAAAGGCCCACCAAGGCGACGAUCCGUAGCUGGUCUGAGAGGAUGAUCAGCCACACUGGAACUGAGACACGGUCCAGACUCCUACGGGAGGCAGCAGUGGGGAAUAUUGGACAAUGGGCGCAAGCCUGAUCCAGCCAUACCGCGUGGGUGAAGAAGGCCUUCGGGUUGUAAAGCCCUUUUGUUGGGAAAGAAAAGCAGCAGGUUAAUACCCCGCUGUUCUGACGGUACCCAAAGAAUAAGCACCGGCUAACUUCGUG